Molecule: ribosomal RNA, 504 nt
Filed under: uncultured bacterium
Lineage: Bacteria
Description: partial 16S ribosomal RNA
Rfam family: Bacterial small subunit ribosomal RNA
Source: RNAcentral
AUUGAACGCUGGCGGCAGGCCUAACACAUGCAAGUCGAGCGGUAGCACAGAGAGCUUGCUCUCGGGUGACGAGCGGCGGACGGGUGAGUAAUGUCUGGGAAACUGCCUGAUGGAGGGGGAUAACUACUGGAAACGGUAGCUAAUACCGCAUAACGUCGCAAGACCAAAGAGGGGGACCUUCGGGCCUCUUGCCAUCAGAUGUGCCCGGAUGGGAUUAGCUAGUAGGUGGGGUAACGGCUCACCUAGGCGACGAGCCCUAGCUGGUCUGAGAGGAUGACCAGCCACACUGGAACUGAGACACGGUCCAGACUCCUACGGGAGGCAGCAGUGGGGAAUAUUGCACAAUGGGCGCAAGCCUGAUGCAGCCAUGCCGCGUGUAUGAAGAAGGCCUUCGGGUUGUAAAGUACUUUCAGCGGGGAGGAAGGCGAUAAGGUUAAUAACCUUGUCGAUUGACGUUACCCGCAGAAGAAGCACCGGCUAACUCCGUGCCAGCCGCCGCAGUAA